CUGAGUACUUGUACCUUUGCUAAAGCACAGAUUGGAUCUGUCCAGCGUGCUCACCCCGGAGGUCAUGGCUCCCAUCCUGUCUCACCCCGAGGUGCAGCAGCGUCUCUCUCCCUUCCUCCCCUCCGGAGAGUCUCUCCCUCAGAGCAGCGAGGAGCUGAACAACACUCUCAGCUCGCCUCAGUUCCAGCAGGCGAUGAGUAUGUUCAGCAGUGUGCUGACCUUAGGUCUAUGAGGUGUGAUUUGUGCCAAAGAGCGAACUCACUGAGCAGACAAUCGUGUCGGUCG
Trematomus bernacchii (emerald rockcod) is the source of this 285-nucleotide long non-coding RNA. RefSeq lists it as uncharacterized. NCBI's taxonomy places the organism in Eukaryota, Metazoa, Chordata, Actinopteri, Perciformes, Nototheniidae. The transcript has 3 exons. The record is from RefSeq and is a predicted model, not a curated record.